RNAcentral lists this ribosomal RNA (440 nucleotides) under uncultured bacterium. Its description in RNAcentral is "partial 16S ribosomal RNA". It matches the Rfam family "Bacterial small subunit ribosomal RNA", at positions 338 to 795 of the family's 1533-position model. The record is from RNAcentral.
CCUACGGGAGGCUGCAGUGGGGAAUAUUGCACAAUGGGGGAAACCCUGAUGCAGCGACGCCGCGUGAGCGAUGAAGUAUUUCGGUAUGUACAGCUCUAUCAGCAGGGAAGAAAAUGAAGGUAACUGACUAAGAAGCCCCGGCUAACUACGUGCCAGAAGCCGCGGUAAUACGUAGGGGGCAAGCGUUAUCCGGAUUUACUGGGGGUAAAGGGAGCGUAGACGGCUGGGCAAGCCGGAUGUGAAAGGCUCGGGCUCAACCCCAGUACUGAAUUUGGAACUGUCAUGCUAGAGUGUCGGAGAGGCAGGCGGAAUUCCUAGUGUAGCGGUGAAAUGCGUAGAUAUUAGGAGGAACACCAGUGGCGAAGGCGGCCUUCUGGACGAUGACUGACGUUGAGGCUCGAAAGCGUGGGGAGCAAACAGGAUUAGAUACCCGAGUAGUC